Molecule: long non-coding RNA, 134 nt
Organism: Nomascus leucogenys (northern white-cheeked gibbon)
Lineage: Eukaryota; Metazoa; Chordata; Mammalia; Primates; Hylobatidae
Exons: 2
Source: RefSeq, a predicted model, not a curated record
GGCUCACGCCUGUAAUCCCAGCACUUUGGGAGGCCAAGGCCGAAGAGAGAAGACUGCUUGAGACUAGGAAUUUAGAGCAGUCUGGGCAAUAUAGUGAGACCCCAUCUCUACAAAAAUAAAAACAAAAAUAAUUA